GAAUCGCGAUAGGAAUUGCGAAUUGCAGAAUUCAGUGAAUCAUCGUAACUUUGAACGCAAACUGCGCUUGGGGGUUGACCCCGAGCAUGCCUCUCUGAGUGUCGGUCAAACCAUCCUGUGGGUUUUCCCCAGGGUUAUGAGAGUUCAAUGAUCUCUUCAAGUAUGAGUAGCGCCCGCAAGGGUGUGUGGUGAGCGACUGAGGCUUUGUCACAAGCGAAUGGAGAUGAAAGUUUUCAUGAGCGGCAGAGAUUCAGAACCGAGUCACACUUGCUCUACAGUAUGGACAAUCUUUUUGGACAUACAGCUGUUCUGACCAUCGACCUCAGAUGAGGUAGGAUUACCCGCUGAACUUAA
This 354-nucleotide unclassified non-coding RNA is filed under the name uncultured fungus. Its description in RNAcentral is "sequence contains ITS1". The stretch from base 1 to 104 matches the Rfam family "5.8S ribosomal RNA", at positions 50 to 154 of the family's 154-position model. Lineage: Eukaryota; Fungi. The record is from RNAcentral.